CAGGUCUCCAAGGUGAACAGCCU
This 23-nucleotide non-coding RNA is filed under the name Chlamydomonas reinhardtii. RNAcentral also lists the same sequence under 2 other names. The record is from RNAcentral. Lineage: Eukaryota; Viridiplantae; Chlorophyta; Chlorophyceae; Chlamydomonadales; Chlamydomonadaceae.